RNAcentral lists this long non-coding RNA (1576 nucleotides) under Oryctolagus cuniculus (rabbit). RNAcentral's name for it is "lncRNA (ENSOCUG00000032908.1)". Lineage: Eukaryota; Metazoa; Chordata; Mammalia; Lagomorpha; Leporidae. The record is from RNAcentral.
AAGUUAAAAAAAAAAGAAAUAAAAUAUUUCCAAAAAAAAAAAAAAAAUGAAGAACUCACUACCCAUGUAAGGGACUCUGACCAGACCCAGAACCUCUGGUGGCUACCAGAUCAAGUGUUCAGCAUAUGCCGGUGCUGGUUCUGGCCCCUCUACAAAAUCUCCCCCCACCCAUCUCAGAGAGGGUCCUGGACACCAGGACUCCUCGAAUCCCUAGCAAUUCCCUUGUUUUUUUUUUGUUGUUGUUGUUUAUUUAGAUUUAUUUAUUUGAAAUUCAGAGUUACACAGAGAGAGAAGGAGAAGCAGAGAGAGAGAGCAAUUUCUUCCAUCUGCUGGUUCACUCCCCAGAUGGCCGCAACAGCUGGUUCUGCACAGAUCCGAAGCCAGGAGCCAGCAGCCUCCGCAUCUCCCACACAGGUGCAGAGGCCCAAGGACUUGGGCCAUCCUCCACUGCUUUCCCUCGCCACAGCGGAGAGCUGGAUUGGAAGUGGAGCAGCCAGGACUCAAACCAGUGCCCAUAUGGGAUACCAGCUAUGCCACAGUGCCAGCCCUGGUUUUUUGUUUUGUUUUGUUUUUUAAAGUCUUAUCAGAACAAAACUGAGGUGUUGAAAUUCCAGGGAAAGGAAGGAAUUUUCCAAGCAUAUCUGGAUGCCUGUGAAGGGAGAGCAUCCUGGAACCCAUACUUCCCUUUCUCUCAAGCAGGCUUCCAAGUAUCCGGUCAGGUUGCUUUGGAAAUGACAUUGAGAGAGAGGAAGCUCUGACCUCCACGCAGUGCAAUCAGGGAGAGGUCUCAGGCCCCAGUCCUCUCACCACCCACACGGCUUCUCUGCAAGUACACAUUUAUUUUACUUAGCUCAGAGCUCCCAACAAAAUCAUUCAUACAAAGACGUACUCAAAGGACAUCAAAUUAUUACAAACUUCCCUUCAAGUUCAAUUUUACAACAGACUAUUAGAAUAGUUGGUACUUUUGAUCGAUUUUUAGUAUAGAAAAACACAUGUUUACUGUCAGCCAUCUUUAGUUUAUGGUACACUGCUAACUAUACAUUGUUGUAAGUAUACAAGAGAUUUUUACAACUUGUUAAUCUUGAAUGAUUGAAAUUAUGUCCAAUGAACAAUCCCCUGGUUCUCCCUCCUAUGAGCCCUUCACAGUCACCAUUCCACUUUCUGAGACAACUUCAGAUACCUUGUGCAAACAGAAUCAGGAAGUAUUUGUGUUUUUGUGAUGGGCUUACUUCACUUAGCAUAAUGUCUUCAAGGUUCAUCUACGCUGUGUAGUAUAUGACAGAAUUUCCUUCUUUUAAGGUUGACUAAUACUCCAUCAGAAACUGAAUUGUUGAGCUGAAAUGAAUUGAGCACUGAAUUAACAUGUGCCAGACACUGUGCCUGGCCUCAAGAAACCACAGCUUCCAUCAGUUCCCUCUGAUGGAAAUAUACAUGAGUCACAUGUGGAACUUCAAAUGACCUAAUAGCCAUGAAAAAGAAAUAGUAAAAAUUAAUAAUGCAUUUUAAAAACAACAUAUCUAAAAUAUAUUUCUGCUUGUAAUCAAUAUAAAAAUCACUAAUGGGGACCAGCAUGGUG